RNAcentral lists this ribosomal RNA (500 nucleotides) under Rhodococcus pyridinivorans. RNAcentral's name for it is "bacterial SSU rRNA". It matches the Rfam family "Bacterial small subunit ribosomal RNA", at positions 81 to 596 of the family's 1533-position model. The record is from RNAcentral. Lineage: Bacteria; Bacillati; Actinomycetota; Actinomycetes; Mycobacteriales; Nocardiaceae.
UGCUGGGUGGAUUAGUGGCGAACGGGUGAGUAACACGUGGGUGAUCUGCCCUGCACUCUGGGAUAAGCCUGGGAAACUGGGUCUAAUACCGGAUAUGACCUCGGGAUGCAUGUUCUGGGGUGGAAAGUUUUUCGGUGCAGGAUGAGCCCGCGGCCUAUCAGCUUGUUGGUGGGGUAAUGGCCUACCAAGGCGACGACGGGUAGCCGGCCUGAGAGGGCGACCGGCCACACUGGGACUGAGACACGGCCCAGACUCCUACGGGAGGCAGCAGUGGGGAAUAUUGCACAAUGGGCGCAAGCCUGAUGCAGCGACGCCGCGUGAGGGAUGACGGCCUUCGGGUUGUAAACCUCUUUCACCCAUGACGAAGCGCAAGUGACGGUAGUGGGAGAAGAAGCACCGGCCAACUACGUGCCAGCAGCCGCGGUAAUACGUAGGGUGCGAGCGUUGUCCGGAAUUACUGGGCGUAAAGAGCUCGUAGGCGGUUUGUCGCGUCGUCUGUG